Molecule: microRNA precursor, 87 nt
Filed under: Cricetulus griseus (Chinese hamster)
Lineage: Eukaryota; Metazoa; Chordata; Mammalia; Rodentia; Cricetidae
Description: mir-3473 microRNA precursor family
Rfam family: mir-3473 microRNA precursor family
Source: Rfam by way of RNAcentral
ACCGCUGAGCCAUCUCUCCAGUCCCUAAAAAUACCUUUUUAAAAAUAAAAAAAAAAGGGGGGGGGGCUGGAGAGAUGGCUCAGCGGU